This is a non-coding RNA of Gossypium arboreum, 142 nucleotides long. Lineage: Eukaryota; Viridiplantae; Streptophyta; Magnoliopsida; Malvales; Malvaceae. The record is from Rfam.
AAUAGUUUUAUGCCACAUCAGUACUCUUAUCCUGAAUUUCAGGAUUUUAUCAUGAAAAAAAUCAAAUCCAAAUUAAAAUACUAAAAUUCAGGAUAAAAUCCUGAAAUUCAGGAUAAGAAUACUGAUGUGGCAUAAAACUAUU